UGGGGAAUAUUGCACAAUGGGGGAAACCCUGAUGCAGCAACGCCGCGUGAAGGAAGACGGUUUUCGGAUUGUAAACUUCUGUUCUUAGUGAAGAAAGAAUGACGGUAGCUAAGGGGCAAGCCACGGCUAACUACGUGCCAGCAGCCGCGGUAAUACGUAGGUGGCAAGCGUUGUCCGGAAUUACUGGGUGUAAAGGGAGCGCAGGCGGGAGAUCAAGUCAGCUGUGAAAACUACGGGCUUAACUUGUAGACUGCAGUUGAAACUGAUUUUCUUGAGUGAAGUAGAGGUUGGCGGAAUUCCGAGUGUAGCGGUGAAAUGCGUAGAUAUUCGGAGGAACACCGGUGGCGAAGGCGGCCAACUGGGCUUUAACUGACGCUGAGGC
This 382-nucleotide ribosomal RNA is filed under the name uncultured Eubacterium sp. RNAcentral describes it as "bacterial SSU rRNA". It matches the Rfam family "Bacterial small subunit ribosomal RNA", at positions 355 to 752 of the family's 1533-position model. The record is from RNAcentral. Lineage: Bacteria; Bacillati; Bacillota; Clostridia; Eubacteriales; Eubacteriaceae.